RNAcentral lists this ribosomal RNA (457 nucleotides) under Veillonella parvula. RNAcentral describes it as "bacterial SSU rRNA". It matches the Rfam family "Bacterial small subunit ribosomal RNA", at positions 28 to 462 of the family's 1533-position model. Lineage: Bacteria; Bacillati; Bacillota; Negativicutes; Veillonellales; Veillonellaceae. The record is from RNAcentral.
GACGAACGCUGGCGGCGUGCUUAACACAUGUAAGUCGAACGAAGAGCGACGGAAGCUUGCUUCUAUCAAUCUUAGUGGCGAACGGGUGAGUAACGCGUAAUCAACCUGCCCUUCAGAGGGGGACAACAGUUGGAAACGACUGCUAAUACCGCAUACGAUCUAAUCUCGGCAUCGAGGAUAGAUGAAAGGUGGCCUCUACAUGUAAGCUAUCACUGAAGGAGGGGAUUGCGUCUGAUUAGCUAGUUGGAGGGGUAACGGCCCACCAAGGCGAUGAUCAGUAGCCGGUCUGAGAGGAUGAACGGCCACAUUGGGACUGAGACACGGCCCAGACUCCUACGGGAGGCAGCAGUGGGGAAUCUUCCGCAAUGGACGAAAGUCUGACGGAGCAACGCCGCGUGAGUGAUGACGGCCUUCGGGUUGUAAAGCUCUGUUAAUCGGGACGAAAGGCCUUCUUGCG